UGGGGAAUCUUCCACAAUGGACGCAAGUCUGAUGGAGCAACGCCGCGUGAGUGAAGAAGGUUUUCGGACCGUAAAGCUCUGUUGUUGGUGAAGAAGGAUAGAGGUAGUAACUGGCCUUUAUUUGACGGUAAUCAACCAGAAAGUCACGGCUAACUACGUGCCAGCAGCCGCGGUAAUACGUAGGUGGCAAGCGUUGUCCGGAUUUAUUGGGCGUAAAGCGAGCGCAGGCGGAAGAAUAAGUCUGAUGUGAAAGCCCUCGGCUUAACCGAGGAAUUGCAUCGGAAACUGUUUUCUUGAGUGCAGAAGAGGAGAGUAGAACUCCAUGUGUAGCGGUGGAAUGCGUAGAUAUAUGGAAGAAUACCAGUGGCGAAGGCGGCUCUCUGGUCUGCAACUGACGCUGAGGCUCGAAAGCAUGGGUAGCGAACAGGAUUAGAUACCCUGGUAGUCCAUGCCGUAAACGAUGAGUGCUAAGUGUUGGGAGGCUUCCGCCUCUCAGUGCUGCAGCUAACGCAUUAAGCACUCCGCCUGGGGGAGUACGACCGCAAGGUUGAAAC
RNAcentral lists this ribosomal RNA (554 nucleotides) under uncultured bacterium. RNAcentral describes it as "partial 16S ribosomal RNA". It matches the Rfam family "Bacterial small subunit ribosomal RNA", at positions 355 to 900 of the family's 1533-position model. The record is from RNAcentral.